RNAcentral lists this ribosomal RNA (544 nucleotides) under Symbiodinium sp. clade D. Its description in RNAcentral is "partial Eukaryotic large subunit ribosomal RNA". It matches the Rfam family "Eukaryotic large subunit ribosomal RNA", at positions 811 to 1359 of the family's 3401-position model. Lineage: Eukaryota; Dinophyceae; Suessiales; Symbiodiniaceae. The record is from RNAcentral.
AGGACCCGAAAGAUGGUGAACUAUGCCUGAAUAGGGUGAAGUCAGAGGAAACUCUGAUGGAAGCUCGUAGCGGUUCUGACGUGCAAAUCGAUCGUCAAAUUUGGGUAUAGGGGCGAAAGACUAAUCGAACCAUCUAGUAGCUGGUUCCCUCCGAAGUUUCCCUCAGGAUAGCUAGAGUUGAACAGUUUUAUCAGGUAAAGCGAAUGAUUAGAGGUAACUGGGAUGAAUUGUCCUGGACCUAUUCUCAAACUUUAAAUGGGUAAGAAGCGCGGCUUGCUUCAUUGAAGCCGUGCCUCGAAUGGUAGUUGCUAGUGGGCCAUAGCCGGUAAGCGGCUCUGGCGAUGCGGGAUAAACCGAAAGCAACGUUAAAGCGCCAAACUAACCGCUCAUCAGAUCCCACAAAAGGUGUUGGUUCAUAUAGACAGCAGGACGGUGGCCAUGGAAGUUGGAAUCCGCUAAGGAGUGUGUAACAACUCACCUGCCGAAUGAACUAGCCCUGAAAAUGGAUGGCGCUCAAGCGUGUUACCGAUACUUGACCGAGUAG